This 302-nucleotide ribosomal RNA is filed under the name Candidatus Coprenecus stercoripullorum. RNAcentral describes it as "partial 23S ribosomal RNA". It matches the Rfam family "Bacterial large subunit ribosomal RNA", at positions 2609 to 2925 of the family's 2925-position model. Lineage: Bacteria; Pseudomonadati; Bacteroidota; Bacteroidia; Bacteroidales; Rikenellaceae. The record is from RNAcentral.
GUUCAGAACGUCGUGAGACAGUUCGGUCUCUAUCUGUUGUGGGCGCAGGAGACUUGCGGAGUCCUGUCCUUAGUACGAGAGGACCGGGAUGGACGCACCUCUGGUUUACCGGUUGUGGCGCCGAGCUGCACCGCCGGGUAUCCAAGUGCGGACGGGAUAAGCGCUGAAAGCAUCUAAGCGCGAAGCCCUCUCCAAGAUUAGGUCUCCCUGAGGGUCGUCGUAGACUACGACGUCGAUAGGCCGCAGGUGUAAAGGCAGUGAUGUCAAAGCCGAGCGGUACUAAUAGCCCGAGACUUCCCGAA